This 406-nucleotide ribosomal RNA is filed under the name uncultured bacterium. RNAcentral describes it as "bacterial SSU rRNA". It matches the Rfam family "Bacterial small subunit ribosomal RNA", at positions 355 to 774 of the family's 1533-position model. The record is from RNAcentral.
UGGGGAAUAUUGGACAAUGGGCCACGAGCCUGAUCCAGCAAUUCUGUGUGGGUGAUGACGGUCUUAGGAUUGUAAAGCCCUUUCAGUGGGGAAGAAGAAAGUGACAGUACCCACAGAAGAAGCCACGGCUAACUACGUGCCAGCAGCCGCGGUAAGACGUAGGUGGCAAGCGUUAUCCGGAAUCACUGGGCGUAAAGGGCAUCUAGGCGGUUUAUUAAGUCAGAAGUGAAAUACCGGGGCUCAACCCCGGGACUGCUUUUGAAACUGGUAGACUAGAAUACGGGAUAGGAGGGCGGAACUACAAGUGUAGAGGUGAAAUUCGUAGAUAUUUGUAGGAAUGCCGAUGACGAAGGUAGCUCUCUGGACCGACAUUGACGCUGAAGUGCGAAAGCUAGGGUAGCAAACA